Molecule: long non-coding RNA, 1080 nt
Filed under: Lupinus mutabilis
Lineage: Eukaryota; Viridiplantae; Streptophyta; Magnoliopsida; Fabales; Fabaceae
Description: partial ncRNA
Source: RNAcentral
CCCUUAUUUAGUUUGAUUAAUAUUCUUAUUCUAUCAGUAAGAUGUUUCACUAUAACUGAACUCAUUUGUUAAUUUCAUUCCGAUUGCAGCUAGCGUUGGCUGAAAAUUAUUGGCAGAAAGGAUUCUGUGCAAGCGUAUAUGAAGGAUCGUGGAUUUUAAAAUCAUGGGGUCGUCGUUCUUACUCUUUAAGUGUAAUUCAAUUCACCUCUGCCAUCACCUUUUUAAUUGGAUAUUGGACAAUGAUGUUACUAUAUUGAUGAUAUUUUCUUCAACAGAUUGAAGAUUUCACAGAUCGGUCUGAAAAUGUUGCCAGAGCAGUUGGAACUAAAGAGCAAAAGAUGAUCUACACAUGUAUCCAUAACUCUCUUAACCAUAUUAAAGCUUUUCUAAAUGGCCAGAUGCAGGGUAUUAAGUUGAUGAGUCUUUUGUUUGGGGAGCAUACGGUUUCUACUCUAGGCAUUGGUAGUACUAGCAACAUCAAUGAAAAUAUGCAUAACCUUCCUAUUAUGCAAAAUCCUCCUCCUAAAAGGAGGUGUUUAGGGGAACGUUUUGAAGAGAGCCAGUCUCAGCAACCUAGUGAAAGAAAUAAUUUUGUUCAAGGUUUGCAAGGAAUAGGACCGCAGGGUAUAGGUCAGGUGCAGCGGGAGACUCCGUUUAACACAUUUGCUUCUUUUGUUCCCCCAUACAAGCCUCCUACUUUUAUUCCUAGUGCAAAUCACAGUUACGGCCCAAGUACAGUUCCUUCUCCCUAUGCCUUAAACCCAGUAGCUUCUGUAGGUUCUUAUAAUCCUUCACUACAAUCUCAUUUUGUUCACUCCCUAAGUUCUUUCGGUAACAUUGGGACAUCUCAUCAACAAGCAGUUGCCCCAAAUAUCUUUAUUGCGGAUCAAGUUCAAUCACAGCUUGCUCAUGUAAACCACAAUCAAUAUAGAGGAGACCAUACCUUUUACAACCAUAGGAAUCAUUAGUUUCAACCUUAUAAUGGAGGUUGUUUCUUAUAUAUUUAUCUUCUCAUGUUAAGUUUACAUUAGCAGAUAAUUGACAUAUAGACAACCAAUAUCUUCUCAUGUUAAGUUUUUU